UACGUAGGGUGCGAGCGUUAAUCGGAAUUACUGGGCGUAAAGCGUGCGCAGGCGGUUUUGUAAGCCAGAUGUGAAAUCCCCGGGCUCAACCUGGGAAUGGCAUUUGGGACUGCAAGGCUGGAGUACAGCAGAGGAGACUGGAAUUCCUGGUGUAGCAGUGAAAUGCGUAGAUAUCAGGAGGAAUACCGAUGGCGAAGGCAGGUCUCUGGGCUGAUACUGACGCUCAUGCACGAAAGCGUGGGGAGCAAACAGG
Molecule: ribosomal RNA, 253 nt
Filed under: uncultured bacterium
Lineage: Bacteria
Description: partial 16S ribosomal RNA
Rfam family: Bacterial small subunit ribosomal RNA
Source: RNAcentral